AUGGGCGGUCGCUAUGCUAACGAGGGCCGGGAGCGGGGCAGCCGUCAAAGAUGGAGCCCGAGCGGCGGCGGCGGCGGCUGUGGGAGUGGGAGCGGGAGCGGUACCCUGAGCAAUUGGGGCGGCGGGCUCCACCGAGUUGCGGCCUCGCCCCACGCCCGACCUGAGCCGCGCCCCCGGAGCGGGCUGGGGGCAGGCGGCCCCCACGGCCCUGGGAGGGGAUGGGGUCUCUGGGCCCGACACGCUCCUGGUGGCCAGGGCCCUUUUCUUGUUGCCCUGCUGAGCCAGCGAGGGGGCAGUGCAAUGUUAAAAGGGCAUUGGCCGCCAGGACAGGCCGCCGGGAACCAGCGCGGCCCUCGCCCAGGCCGGGCCCCACCAGGCCCCUCUCCUCACCGCCCCCCCUCGGUUUCCCCCUUCCUGGCCGCCCCGCCUCGGGUCACCAGAGCUCAGACCUCUUUCCCUCUAGGGGCCCCCCACACUGGGGGUGGGGCCAGCCGGGCCUCCAUUAGCCUCCCAGCCCUGGAAGGUCAUCCUGUGUCUGGACUGGGGGGUGGGGGGGUGGCUCCUCUCCCUUCUCCCUCUGGCCCCUCCCCUCCCGGCCCUAGGGGCCUCCCUCUCCCCUUCUGUUCGGCCUUCCUGCCCUGGUGGCUCAGGGAAGAGACUGAGGCAGGUAUGGGGGGAGCCGGUGGAGGCAGGGUCCACUGGGCCCCCCCAAGGCCCAUGGAAGUCAUUUCCAUUCUCUGGGCCUCGGAUUCUUAGGGGAACCCCCCCCCCCAAAGCCUGGGCCCUGACCCUGUUUGGGCCCAGGCCAGCCUCCUGGUCCUCCCUCCCAGGGUGGGGGCCGGCCCUGAGCCAGGCUUCUCUGCUGGGGCCCCCAGACAGCUGGGGUGGGGGAAGGGCCAGCCUGAGGCUGCUGACAUUCCCCAAAUGCCUGGGGGCCCCUCCCGGUCCUGUCCCGGCCUGUGGAGCCAGGCAGCUGGCCCUGCCCCCUGCCCGGCCCCUGUCUGGGCUGUUGGGGGAGGGGAGGGCUGCCCACCUCCCCUUGGCCUGGGCCUGCCCGAAGCUCUUUCCCUGUUGCCCUGCUGUCCGGUCACCUAGCAGUGCAAUUGUGAAAGGGCAUUGGUGAGGCCUACCUCGGAGGAGCAUCGGGACAGCUGGGAGCCCUUAGAUGGACGAGGAGCUGGCAGUCCACAACCACUGUGUGCUGGGCCUGGAGUUCCAGUCUGGCCUCGCUGGGUGACCCUGGCAAAGUCCCUUCCCUUGUUGGCCUCGGUUUCCUUCCUUCUGUCACAUGAGAUGAAGAAAUGAGCAGCUAUCCCAGGAUCCUUUCCCAGGAAAAGACCCACCAGGGUCAGGAAGGACUGGGCCAACGGCUGAGCUCUCAGAGACCGAAGAAGCUCCCUGGAAGUCACUCAGUACCUCUGCCUCACUUUCCUCACCUGUGCAAUGGGAACGAUUGUGGUUGUGGGAUUGGGAUAACUGUAAAGUGCUGGUCACACAGUAGGUGCUUAAUAAAUGCUCGUUCUGGA
RNAcentral lists this long non-coding RNA (1526 nucleotides) under Monodelphis domestica (gray short-tailed opossum). RNAcentral describes it as "lncRNA (ENSMODG00000042486.1)". The stretch from base 246 to 324 matches the Rfam family "mir-130 microRNA precursor family". Lineage: Eukaryota; Metazoa; Chordata; Mammalia; Didelphimorphia; Didelphidae. The record is from RNAcentral.